This 513-nucleotide ribosomal RNA is filed under the name uncultured Acaulospora. RNAcentral's name for it is "SSU rRNA". It matches the Rfam family "Eukaryotic small subunit ribosomal RNA", at positions 569 to 1081 of the family's 1831-position model. The record is from RNAcentral. Lineage: Eukaryota; Fungi; Glomeromycota; Glomeromycetes; Diversisporales; Acaulosporaceae.
AGCAGCCGCGGUAAUUCCAGCUCCAAUAGCGUAUAUUAAAGUUGUUGCAGUUAAAAAGCUCGUAGUUGAAUUUCGGAAUCUGUUCGUCGGUCGGGCUUCACUGUCCGUACUGGUGUGGUGGGUUCUUACCUUCUGAAUAACCAGCAUGCCAUUCACUUGGUGCGCUGGGGAAGCAGGACUAUUACCUUGAAAAAAUUAGAGUGCUCAAAGCAGGCUAGUGCCUGAAUACAUUAGCAUGGAAUAAUAAAAUAGGACGGCAUGGUUCUAUUUUGUUGGUUUCUAGGAUCACCGUAAUGAUUAAUAGGGAUAGUUGGGGGCAUUAGUAUUCAAUUGUCAGAGGUGAAAUUCUUGGAUUUAUUGAAGACUAACUUCUGCGAAAGCAUUUGCCAAGGAUGUUUUCAUUAAUCAAGAACGAAAGUUAGGGGAUCGAAGACGAUCAGAUACCGUCGUAGUCUUAACCAUAAACUAUGCCGACUAGGGAUCGGACGAUGUCAAUUUUUUAAUGACUCGUUC